GAUGAACGCUAGCGGGAGGCUUAACACAUGCAAGUCGAGGGGCAGCACGAGAUAGCAAUAUUUUGGUGGCGACCGGCGCACGGGUGAGUAACGCGUAUGCAACCUACCUUGUACAGGGGGAUAACUCGGAGAAAUCCGGACUAAUACCCCAUAAUGAUAUUGAGAGACAUCUUUUGAUAUUUAAAGUUCCGACGGUACAGGAUGGGCAUGCGUAACAUUAGCUAGUUGGUAAGGUAACGGCUUACCAAGGCUACGAUGUUUAGGGGACCUGAGAGGGUGAUCCCCCACACUGGUACUGAGACACGGACCAGACUCCUACGGGAGGCAGCAGUGAGGAAUAUUGGUCAAUGGGCGCAAGCCUGAACCAGCCAUCCCGCGUGCAGGAAGACGGCGCUAUGCGUUGUAAACUGCUUUUCCAGGGGGGAGAAUGAUUUUGAUGUAUCGAGAUUUGACGGUACCCUGGGAAUAAGCAUCGGCUAACUCCGUG
This 487-nucleotide ribosomal RNA is filed under the name uncultured bacterium. RNAcentral describes it as "bacterial SSU rRNA". It matches the Rfam family "Bacterial small subunit ribosomal RNA", at positions 28 to 507 of the family's 1533-position model. The record is from RNAcentral.